UAUAUGGAAAUGUCACAAUGUCAUUCAUUACUUUGUAUGUAAAUCUUAAAAAAAUCUCAAGGUCCAAAUCAGGAGCAGAAGGAGAGAGAGCACGAGCAAGGAACUCAGGACCGUGAGGGGGACACCCACACACUGAGACAAUGGGGAUGUUCUAUCGGGAACUCACCAAGGCCAGCUGGCCUGGGUCUGAAAAAGCCUGGGUUAAAACCGGUCUCACUGAACAUGGCAGACAAUGAGGACUACUGAGAACUCAAGAACAAUGGCAAUGGGUUUUGAUCCUACUGCACGUACUGGCUUUGUGGGAGCCUAGGCAGUCUGGAUGCUCACCUUACUAGACCUGGAUGGAGUGUGACCCCUUAGAAGUCCUGACCGGAACUGAUGCUCCACCCCCUCGCAACCGUUGCUUGCACUGUUGGUGCUUCUCACGGCUCCGGGGAAAGCCCUCCUUCCACUCUCCCUUCUCCCCUUGCUGAUGUUGGAGGCAGCCCCGAGCCAGCUUUCCCUUGUGUGAAUUAAUGAAGGCCGCAGCCUGCUACCCCACCCUCUCUCAGAGAAAGGCUAAGAUCCACACGGAAAGUGGGCCAUCAUCACCUAGCCCUUUGGAACAUUGUACAACAGCAGAAUCUGGAGUAACUCUGGACCUUCGCAGACAGGCAAAGGAGGAAGGCCACAGUCUUCAAAGUCACCCUCAGCUCCAUCUGCAUGAGGCAGGAGCAAGCAAGCUUUUCGGACAGACAGUCAGCGGGUCUAUUCUAGUUUCUAAACUUGGGAGAAUAUCAUUGGGAGGAUGUUUUCCUGGAAUCAGCACUGGGACUCAAAAUAUUUAUGAUCACCUAUGGAUUAGAA
This is a long non-coding RNA of Alexandromys fortis (reed vole), 846 nucleotides long. RefSeq lists it as uncharacterized. The record is from RefSeq and is a predicted model, not a curated record. Lineage: Eukaryota; Metazoa; Chordata; Mammalia; Rodentia; Cricetidae. The transcript has 3 exons.